Molecule: non-coding RNA, 194 nt
Organism: Pocillopora verrucosa
Lineage: Eukaryota; Metazoa; Cnidaria; Anthozoa; Scleractinia; Pocilloporidae
Source: RefSeq, a predicted model, not a curated record
GAGUUAUUUUACGACAGUGUUUCUGUCGGGAAAGGAAGAGGAAUCCUCGCUUGAAAAACUGUAAAGAUUGACGCAUUCGCCAAUUCUACUAGUCAUCACGGUCAAAUUUCAAGCUCGUGCCUCAUCAACAAUGGAUGACGAAUACUCAUAUUAUGACAGCGAAGAUGAAGAAGAAGAAGAAAAAAAGGAAGAAG